Molecule: small RNA, 78 nt
Filed under: Salmonella enterica subsp. enterica serovar Monschaui
Lineage: Bacteria; Pseudomonadati; Pseudomonadota; Gammaproteobacteria; Enterobacterales; Enterobacteriaceae
Also listed under: 1 other name
Description: partial RtT sRNA
Rfam family: RtT RNA
About the family: This family represents a bacterial cis-regulatory element known as RtT RNA. The exact function of RtT is unknown although it is thought that it may be involved in changing the cellular response in relation to amino acid starvation.
Source: RNAcentral
UUGAACGUGAAGGAUAACGUUGCUUCAGCAACGGCCCGAAGGGCGAGGCGAAGCCGAGUCAUCCUGCACGACCCACCA